This 717-nucleotide ribosomal RNA is filed under the name uncultured Eubacteriales bacterium. RNAcentral's name for it is "bacterial SSU rRNA". It matches the Rfam family "Bacterial small subunit ribosomal RNA", at positions 60 to 780 of the family's 1533-position model. Lineage: Bacteria; Bacillati; Bacillota; Clostridia; Eubacteriales. The record is from RNAcentral.
AGUCGAACGAUGAAACUUAGUAGACUUCUUCGGAAUGACACUAAGCGAAUUAGUGGCGAACGGGUGAGUAACGCGUGAGUAACCUGCCUUACACAAGGGGAUAGCCUUUGGAAACGAAGAAUAAUACCCUAUAAAACUAUAAAAGCACAUGCUAGAAUGGUCAAAGUGCUAGCGGUGUAAGAUGGACUUGCGUCUGAUUAGCUAGUUGGUGAGAUAAAAGCUCACCAAGGCAACGAUCAGUAGCCGGCUUGAGAGAGUGUACGGCCACAUUGGGACUGAGACACGGCCCAGACUCCUACGGGAGGCAGCAGUGGGGAAUUUUGCACAAUGGGGGAAACCCUGAUGCAGCGACGCCGCGUGAUUUAGAAGGCCUUCGGGUUGUAAAAAUCUUUUGUAUAGGAAGAAAAUGACAGUACUAUACGAAUAAGGUCCGGCUAAUUACGUGCCAGCAGCCGCGGUAAUACGUAAGGACCGAGCGUUGUCCGGAAUCAUUGGGCGUAAAGGGUACGUAGGCGGCUAGAAAAGUUAGAGGUCAAAGGCUAUAGCUCAACUAUAGUAAGCUUCUAAAACUAUUUAGCUUGAGAAAUGGAAGGGAAAGUGGAAUUCCUAGUGUAGCGGUGGAAUGCGCAGAUAUUAGGAAGAAUACCGGUGGCGAAGGCGACUUUCUGGCCAUUAUCUGACGCUGAGGUACGAAAGCGUGGGUAGCAAACAGGAUUA